RNAcentral lists this small RNA (172 nucleotides) under Chrysemys picta bellii (western painted turtle). RNAcentral describes it as "TUC338 (ENSCPBG00000026205.1)". The record is from RNAcentral. Lineage: Eukaryota; Metazoa; Chordata; Testudines; Emydidae.
UUGCAGAUAUAAAGACUUAACGUCCUCUGUGUUUCUACAUAACGGACACAGCAUGGGCAUCAGCAGUGCAGAUUUUCCCACACUGCCCUGUACCUCAGUUUUGACACAGUGUGAUCCCCUCUAGGGAUGAGAUUAUCACUCAGUCUCCAUAUUGAUUCGGUCUUUUGCUGAA